CCUACGGGAGGCAGCAGUGGGGAAUAUUGGACAAUGGGCGAAAGCCUGAUCCAGCCAUGCCGCGUGUGUGAAGAAGGCCUUCGGGUUGUAAAGCACUUUCAGUGGGGAAGAAAGCCUUGGGGCUAAUACCCUCGAGGAAGGACAUCACCCACAGAAGAAGCACCGGCUAACUCCGUGCCAGCAGCCGCGGUAAUACGGAGGGUGCGAGCGUUAAUCGGAAUUACUGGGCGUAAAGCGCGCGUAGGCGGUCUGAUAAGCCGGUUGUGAAAGCCCCGGGCUCAACCUGGGAACGGCAUCCGGAACUGUCAGGCUAGAGUGCAGUAGAGGAAGGUAGAAUUCCCGGUGUAGCGGUGAAAUGCGUAGAGAUCGGGAGGAAUACCAGUGGCGAAGGCGGCCUUCUGGACUGACACUGACGCUGAGGUGCGAAAGCGUGGGUAGCAAACAGGAUUAGAUACCCCAGUAGUC
This 465-nucleotide ribosomal RNA is filed under the name Vreelandella stevensii. RNAcentral describes it as "partial 16S ribosomal RNA". It matches the Rfam family "Bacterial small subunit ribosomal RNA", at positions 338 to 795 of the family's 1533-position model. The record is from RNAcentral. Lineage: Bacteria; Pseudomonadati; Pseudomonadota; Gammaproteobacteria; Oceanospirillales; Halomonadaceae.